UUUAUAAAAGUUGUUUUUUGUUAAGUAAUAUUUUGAAAAACUUAAAUUAAUUAUUGUAUUGAAAAAGAAUUUUAUUUAAUUGUAAAUAAGAAUAUUUAAUUAUUAGUAUCUUUUGUAUCAGAGUUUAUUAAAAUUAAAUUAAAUAUUUAUUAAUUUCAAAUUUUUAAGAUUUAUUAGAUUAUUUUUAUUAUUGUUUUAUAAAUAUAAAAAAUUUUUUAAUUGAAAUUAAAAGUUAAUCGUUUAAAAAUAUAUUUAAUUAUUUUAGAAAUUAAUUUAGUUAAGAAUUAGUUAUUUAAAUAAAAUAAUUAUUAUUUUAUUUUAUUUCUAAUUUUAGAUUAAUGGGGAUAAGCUUGUUAAUUUAAUAUGAUUAAUAAUAAUUUAUUUUAAUUAGUAAGGUUAUUAUUUCCUAUCUUUUAUUUUAUUGUAAAUAAUUAAAAUUUUUUAUAUAUAAAUUUUUUAAAUUUUCUAUUUUUUAUAUAAAAUUAAUUAUUAUAAUUUAUUAAGUAAUAAAAUAAUGAUAAAAUUAGUAAAUUAAAUUUUAUUUUUAAUUUUAUUUUAACAAUAAAUUAAAUGAACUAGGCAAAAGUAUUUUUACCUGUUUAUUAAAAACAUGUCUAUUUGAAUAAAAUAAAUAGUCUGAUCUGCCCAUUGAUUAAUUUUAAAGGCUGCAGAAUUUUAACUGUACAAAGGUAGCAUAAUAAUUUGAUUUUUAAUUGGAAUCUUGUAUGAAUGAUAUGAUAAAAAAUGCUCUUUAUUUAAUUUAAAUAUUUUAAUUUUUUAUUUAAGUGAAAAAACUUAAAUUAUAUAAAAAGACAAUAAGACCCUAUAAAACUUUAUAGUUUAAGUUAAUUAUUUUUAAAUUAAAUUAUUUAAUUGGGGAAAUUAUUAGAUUAAUUAAAUUCUUUUAUUUUUAAAUUAUUUAAUNNNNNNNNNNNNNNNNNNNNNNNNNNNNNNNAAGUUGCUUUAGGGAUAACAGCAUAAUAAUUUUUUAAAGUUCUUAUAAAAAAAAUUGAUUAUGACCUCGAUGUUGGAUUUAAAUUAUUAAUUAAAUGUAAAUGUUUAAUUAAUUAGUCUGUUCGACUAAAAUUUUAACAUGAUCUGAGUUUAAAUCGGUGUG
This 1117-nucleotide ribosomal RNA is filed under the name Elenchus sp. 2 DPM-2011. RNAcentral describes it as "partial 16S large subunit ribosomal RNA". The record is from RNAcentral. Lineage: Eukaryota; Metazoa; Arthropoda; Insecta; Strepsiptera; Elenchidae.